Molecule: ribosomal RNA, 627 nt
Filed under: uncultured bacterium
Lineage: Bacteria
Description: bacterial SSU rRNA
Rfam family: Bacterial small subunit ribosomal RNA
Source: RNAcentral
GAGUAACACGUGAGCAAUCUGCCUUUCAGAGGGGGAUACCGAUUGGAAACGAUCGUUAAUACCGCAUAAUAUAAUUGAACCGCAUGAUUUGAUUAUCAAAGAUUUAUCGCUGAAAGAUGAGCUCGCGUCUGAUUAGCUAGUUGGUAAGGUAACGGCUUACCAAGGCGACGAUCAGUAGCCGGACUGAGAGGUUGAUCGGCCACAUUGGGACUGAGACACGGCCCAGACUCCUACGGGAGGCAGCAGUGGGGAAUAUUGCACAAUGGAGGAAACUCUGAUGCAGCGAUGCCGCGUGAGGGAAGAAGGUUUUAGGAUUGUAAACCUCUGUCUUCAGGGACGAAAAAUGACGGUACCUGAGGAGGAAGCUCCGGCUAACUACGUGCCAGCAGCCGCGGUAAUACGUAGGGAGCGAGCGUUGUCCGGAAUUACUGGGUGUAAAGGGAGCGUAGGCGGGAUCGCAAGUCAGAUGUGAAAACUAUGGGCUUAACCCAUAAACUGCAUUUGAAACUGUGGUUCUUGAGUGAAGUAGAGGUAAGCGGAAUUCCUAGUGUAGCGGUGAAAUGCGUAGAUAUUAGGAGGAACAUCAGUGGCGAAGGCGGCUUACUGGGCUUUAACUGACGCUGAGGC